CACACACACACACACACACACACACACACACACACCAAAACACACACACAGCUAAAGAGUUCUGUAAACACAUAUUGCCACAUAUGAAAUGUAAGAUACUUAAGCCUGCUUUUCCUUUUCUCCUACCAGCACAUUCUCAAAAUUCAAGUAAUCAUAUUAAUGAAUUCAAUGUUCAAAUGUCACCUGACUACUACUUGUAAGUGGAUCUUAUGUAAAACUUGAAUAUUUGAAACAGUUCAUUCAAAACCUUGGAGGCUUACAAUAAAAAAAAGUUCAAACUUCAAGAUAGUAAGCUGGUUAUUUUAAUUUUUUAAUGGAGAAUCAGAAUGGCUUUUUAAAAGUAUCUGAAUGAGUAAUAAUAUUGUUGGUGAUAAUGAAAAUAUUUAAUCAACACUACUUGUAUGAUUCUUUCCUAAGAGCUUUAU
Perognathus longimembris pacificus (Pacific pocket mouse) is the source of this 425-nucleotide long non-coding RNA. RefSeq lists it as uncharacterized. The record is from RefSeq and is a predicted model, not a curated record. The transcript is spliced from 2 exons. NCBI's taxonomy places the organism in Eukaryota, Metazoa, Chordata, Mammalia, Rodentia, Heteromyidae.